Molecule: long non-coding RNA, 788 nt
Organism: Mustela erminea (ermine)
Lineage: Eukaryota; Metazoa; Chordata; Mammalia; Carnivora; Mustelidae
Exons: 3
Source: RefSeq, a predicted model, not a curated record
CUUCAGUGCAGCCAGUGAAAGCCUUUUCUGGGAUUGUGUCUGCACUCUGUCCAGAUCUACGCAGGUCUUCCUGCCCCAUAGAGGGCAGGGUCACCCUUGUCAAGGGUCACUGCCUUGUCCCGGAGCUAUGGAGCCGCUAGUAUAGAAGUCAGUGAGAAUCCAGCCACACACAGGAACCCGGCCAUGAAGGAACUGGGCUCAGGUUCAAAAAAAUUCUACCCAGAAGAAAGAACAUGGUCUACGGUCUUGGAAGGAAAGUUUAGCUGCCUAGCUCAGAGGAGGAGUUCACUUCAGGGAGAGCACGGAAGUGACUUAUACUUCUGCCAGCUAUGCAGGAAGAUGGAGACUGCAGGACUGGGAAAUGCUUUCGUAUCAAAGGCACAAAAGUGAAAUGGCAAUGCCCAUGUCACCUGCUGAAAAACAGCUGUGGACACUGUACAUGUAGUUCAUUAUUUGAACAAAAAACUCUUACGUGGGUAAGACAGCAGUUUCUGUGAGUUCUCCAAAUGCUAUCAUUAAAAUAUUAGUGAUGAAAGUCACCAAAAGUUGCCAGUUACCCUAAUAAUAUUUAUUUAAACUUACUGCCAAUUACCCUAAGAGCAUAUGCUGAUGUCUAAAUAUGCAAGCAGAAAAACAGCUAGUAAACAUGCAACUAAGUCAGCCUAGAGAUAACAGUUUUCAUUUUCAUUUUCUUUUAUUUUUAUUCUCUAUAUUUUGAGUAAUUAUGAUAAUUAGAAAAUGAGCUAAUAAAUUACGAACCUUUAGAAUAAAAAGUCUGUUAUUCCUAC